RNAcentral lists this long non-coding RNA (625 nucleotides) under Lathyrus oleraceus (garden pea). RNAcentral describes it as "Pisum sativum (pea) long non-coding RNA (PSAT_LNC019249)". The record is from RNAcentral. Lineage: Eukaryota; Viridiplantae; Streptophyta; Magnoliopsida; Fabales; Fabaceae.
AGGGGUGUUCGCGGUGCGGUUUGGGCGGUUUUGGCGAUAAAAAUCAUCCGAACCGCAAGAGAAAAAAGCAUGCGGUUUGGUUUGGUUCGGUUGGCUUUUAGAAAUAAAACCAAACCAAACCAAUGCGGUUUGGGUUGGUUCGGUUGGUUCGGUUUUUUAUAAUAUUUUUAUUGUGCCAUACAUACACCUAUAGAGAACAACAUAACUUUGUAUUUAGUCAUUCAUACAUGACUAAAUAACAUCAAAACUCAUCAUAUUUAGACAAAAAUAUUUCAUUCAAUAUACAAAAAAUUAGAUUCGACAAAAAUGGAAUAAAAAACAUAUAUAAAUAGUAGCAUAAAAUAAUAUCAAAGACAUUAUAAUAAAACAUAAAAAACAUAUGAGAUGAGAGAUUAGAGAAGAUGAAAAAAAGAACAUAAGAGAUGCGAGAUUGAGAAGAAAUGUGCGAUAAAAAUAUAAUUAAAAGAGAAAAUAGUAACAUAAAAGAUGAAAAAGAAAGAACAUAAGAGAUGAUUUAUUAGAGUAGAAUAGGCGAAACCUACAUGGAAAAGAAGACGAGAAGAAUGUGUGAUACUACUAUGAGAGAUUUAAGAAGGUUGGAAUUGAAACCCUAAGCGUGAGUAAG